RNAcentral lists this small nuclear RNA (185 nucleotides) under Dasypus novemcinctus (nine-banded armadillo). RNAcentral describes it as "U2 spliceosomal RNA (ENSDNOG00000028898.1)". It matches the Rfam family "U2 spliceosomal RNA". Rfam says of the family: U2 is a small nuclear RNA (snRNA) component of the spliceosome (involved in pre-mRNA splicing). Complementary binding between U2 snRNA (in an area lying towards the 5' end but 3' to hairpin I) and the branchpoint sequence (BPS) of the intron results the bulging out of an unpaired adenosine, on the BPS, which initiates a nucleophilic attack at the intronic 5' splice site, thus starting the first of two transesterification reactions that mediate splicing. Lineage: Eukaryota; Metazoa; Chordata; Mammalia; Cingulata; Dasypodidae. The record is from RNAcentral.
GGGGCUGCUCGGCCUUUUGAUCAAGAUCUAGUGUAGUUCUUAUCAGUUUACUAUCUGAUACGUCCUCUAUCCGAGGACACUAUAGUAAAUGGAUUUUUGGAACAAGGAGAUGGAAGAAGAGCUUGCUCUGUCCACUCCAUGCAUCGAGCAGGUAUUGCAGUACCUCCAGGAAUGGAGCACCCCUU